This 926-nucleotide ribosomal RNA is filed under the name uncultured archaeon. RNAcentral's name for it is "bacterial SSU rRNA". It matches the Rfam family "Archaeal small subunit ribosomal RNA", at positions 49 to 974 of the family's 1478-position model. The record is from RNAcentral.
CCAUGCGAGUCAUAUGUUCUUCGUGAACAUGGCGUACUGCUCAGUAACACGUGGAUAACCUGCCCUUGGGUCCGGCAUAACCCCGGGAAACUGGGGAUAAUUCCGGAUAACGCAUAUAUGCUGGAAUGCUUUCUGCGUAAAAUGGAUUCGUCUGCCCAAGGAUGGGUCUGCGGCCUAUCAGGUAGUAGUGGGUGUAAUGUACCUACUAGCCGACGACGGGUACGGGUUGUGAGAGCAAGGGCCCGGAGAUGGAUUCUGAGACAUGAAUCCAGGCCCUACGGGGCGCAGCAGGCGCGAAAACUUUACAAUGCGGGAAACCGUGAUAAGGGGACACCGAGUGCCAGCAUCAUAUGCUGGCUGUCCGGGUGUGUAAAAUACACCCGUUAGCAAGGGCCGGGCAAGACCGGUGCCAGCCGCCGCGGUAACACCGGCGGCCCGAGUGGUGAUCGUGAUUAUUGGGUCUAAAGGGUCCGUAGCCGGUUUGGUCAGUCCUCCGGGAAAUCUGAUAGCUCAACUAUUAGGCUUUCGGGGGAUACUGCCAGGCUUGGAACCGGGAGAGGUAAGAGGUACUACAGGGGUAGGAGUGAAAUCUUGUAAUCCCUGUGGGACCACCUGUGGCGAAGGCGUCUUACCAGAACGGGUUCGACGGUGAGGGACGAAAGCUGGGGGCACGAACCGGAUUAGAUACCCGGGUAGUCCCAGCCGUAAACGAUGCUCGCUAGGUGUCAGGCAUGGCGCGACCGUGUCUGGUGCCGCAGGGAAGCCGUGAAGCGAGCCACCUGGGAAGUACGGCCGCAAGGCUGAAACUUAAAGGAAUUGGCGGGGGAGCACAACAACGGGUGGAGCCUGCGGUUUAAUUGGACUCAACGCCGGACAACUCACCGGGGGCGACAGCAAUAUGUAGGCCAAGCUGAAGGCUUUGCCUG